Molecule: ribosomal RNA, 2010 nt
Filed under: Triticum aestivum (bread wheat)
Lineage: Eukaryota; Viridiplantae; Streptophyta; Magnoliopsida; Poales; Poaceae
Description: partial small subunit ribosomal RNA
Source: RNAcentral
AUGCCGACUCUUCUUCUGACCUUGUUGUUGAGCCUGAACGUAGCGUUGGCCUCGUCGGCGUUCUCCUACCAGGGCUUUGCCACGGCGAACCUUACCCUAGACGGUCUCGCCGUCGUCAUGCCCAACGGCCUCCUCGCUCUCACCAACUUCACUUCCCAGCAAAAAGGCCACGCCUUCCACCCAGCCCCGCUCCGCUUCCUCAACACGACGGCGAGCUCCACGGCCGUAGCGCGCUCCUUCUCCGCAUCCUUCGUGUUCGCCAUCGUGUCCGUCGUCGAUGGCCUGAGCGACCAGGGCCUCGCCUUCGUGGUCGCCCCGACCUCCGACCUCUCAUCGGCCAACGGCGGACAGUACCUAGGCCUCCUCAACGCAACCAACGGCACCGCGAGCGACCACAUCUUGGCGGUGGAGCUCGACACCAUCUGGAACCCCGAGCUGAGCGACAUCAACAGCAACCACGUUGGCAUCAACGUCAACAGCCUCAUCUCGCGGCAGGCCAAGCCCGCCGGCUACUACGCCGACGACGACGGCAUGGCCUUCCGAGACCUGAUGCUGAAUAGCCGCAGGCCAAUGCAGGUGUGGGUGGACUACGACGGCCAGGGCAGGCGACUCAAUGUGACAUUAGCUCCCGUGCAAGCUCCGAAGCCCAAGAAUCCCUUGCUCUCUGAAGCCAUUGACCUCUCCACUAUCGUGGCGGACACGAUGUAUGCUGGCUUCUCAUCGUCGUCGGGCGUGGUGUCCACGCACCACUACGUCCUUGGAUGGAGCUUCAGCUUCGACGGACCUGCUCCACCGCUCGACUUCUCGAAGCUGCCCAGCCUGCCGCAUGUGGGUCCCAAACCUCCGUCCAAGAUCUUGUACAUCGCUCUACCAUUAGCUAUCAUGUUGCUCAUCGCUGCGGUGUCGGCUGUAGCGUUCAUCCUGUGGCGCCGGCGUCGGUUUGCAGAGGUGCGCGAAGAUUGGGAGGAAGAUUUCGGCCCACACCGAUUCGCAUACAAAGACUUGUUCCAUGCCACCGACGGGUUCAAGAACAGAAAUGUACUCGGUGUUGGAGGGUUUGGAAAAGUAUACAAAGGGGUACUUCCUGUAUCUAAUUUGGAGAUCGCCGUCAAGAGAGUGUCACAUGACUCAAGGCAAGGAAUACGGGAAUUCAUUGCCGAAGUGGUGAGCAUCGGUCGUCUCCGGCAUCGAAAUCUUGCACAGCUGCUAGGCUAUUGCCGGCGCAAUGGUGAACUUCUAUUAGUGUAUGACUACAUGGCAAAUGGCAGCCUUGACAAGUACCUGCACAAUAAGAAUGGGCCAGCUCUAUGUUGGCCUCAAAGGUACUGGAUUGUCAAAGGUAUCGCAUCAAGCUUAUUGUAUUUACACGAGGAUUGGGAGCAAGUCGUCAUCCACCGAGAUAUAAAAGCAAGCAAUGUGCUGCUGGAUAGGGAGAUGAACGGGCGGCUCGGAGACUUUGGUUUAGCAAGGUUAUACGACCAUGGUACAGAUGCUCAAACAACACAUGUCGUUGGUACCAUGGGAUACCUCGCGCCAGAACUUAUGCGCACGGGGAAGGCAACACCCACAACCGAUGUAUUUGCAUUUGGUGUGUUUCUCCUAGAGGUCGUCUGUGGACGCAGGCCAAUCGGGAGUGACGAGCAUAAUAACCCGGUGGUGUUGGUCGACUGGGUGCUUGAGCACCACCGCAAUGGCUCAAUCAUCGAUACGGUGGAUUCCCGGCUUGAGGGGAAAUUCAACAUGGAAGAGGUUAGUAUCGUACUCAGACUAGGUUUGUUGUGCGCGCACCCAUUGCCCAACACAAGGCCUAGCAUGCGAAAGGUCAUGCAAUAUCUGGACGGUGACCAAAUCGCCCCUCAUUUGGCUCCGACCUUCAUGAGCUACAACGAGAUGGCCUUGAUGCAGAGCGAAGGGUUCGAUUCAUACAUCACGCCGUGCCCUCCACUGGCGGCGGGCAUUUGCAGCGGAUCUGGUGAGUCCUUGGUGACAGUUCUAUUCGAUGGGAGAUGA